Molecule: ribosomal RNA, 498 nt
Filed under: uncultured bacterium
Lineage: Bacteria
Description: partial 16S ribosomal RNA
Rfam family: Bacterial small subunit ribosomal RNA
Source: RNAcentral
GAUGAACGCUGGCGGUGUGCCUUACACAUGCAAGUCGAACGGUAACGGGCCUUCGGGUGCCGACGAGUGGCGAACGGGUGAGUAAUGUAUCGGAACGUACCAUUGAGUGGGGGAUAACGUAGCGAAAGUUACGCUAAUACCGCAUAUUCUCUCCGGAGGAAAGCAGGGGACCGCAAGGCCGUGCGCUCUUUGAGCGGCCGAUAUCAGAUUAGCUAGUUGGUGGGGUAAAAGCUCACCAAGGCGACGAUCUGUAGCGGGUCUGAGAGGAUGAUCCGCCACACUGGAACUGAGACACGGUCCAGACUCCUACGGGAGGCAGCAGUGGGGAAUUUUGGACAAUGGGGGCAACCCUGAUCCAGCCAUGCCGCGUGAGUGAAGAAGGCCUUCGGGUUGUAAAGCUCUUUCAGCCGGGAAGAAAUCGCAUGGGCUAAUACCCCGUGCGGAUGACGGUACCGGAAUAAGAAGCACCGGCUAACUACGUGCCAGCCGCCGCAGUAA